Molecule: unclassified non-coding RNA, 421 nt
Filed under: Thermobispora bispora
Lineage: Bacteria; Bacillati; Actinomycetota; Actinomycetes; Streptosporangiales; Streptosporangiaceae
Description: partial 16S-23S ribosomal RNA intergenic spacer
Source: RNAcentral
AAGGUGCACCCCUUAAGCCCCUGUGUGAUAAAAGGGCCGGCUCACUGUGACCGGUGGGCGGCUGGAGUUGGGGCUGAGUUUGUGGGUGAAUGUGGAGCGCUGGUUAGUCGGCCGGGCACACGAGCCUGGGCUGGUGAUGACCAUUUUCUGUGGCGGUCGUUAUGCGGCCGCCGCUGGUGGGGAAGCCGGUUUCGGGGUUUGUGGUCUGGUCGGGCACACUGUCGGGUUUUGAGGGAACGGGCACGGCGUCGCAUUUCCCGAAUCUGCCCAUCCGCCUCCGCCGCCGCUUCAUCGCCGGCGCGGUACGGGAUCGCUCCUUCCGGAUUCGGCUGGGAGACCGUUCUCACGAAACGUGACCUUAACUUCAGUCUUUGACCUAGACGUGUUCACAUCCUGGCCGGUAGUGCUCUGCUUCGGAACC